This 494-nucleotide ribosomal RNA is filed under the name uncultured bacterium. RNAcentral's name for it is "partial 16S ribosomal RNA". It matches the Rfam family "Bacterial small subunit ribosomal RNA", at positions 28 to 523 of the family's 1533-position model. The record is from RNAcentral.
GAUGAACGCUAGCGGGAGGCCUAACACAUGCAAGCCGAGCGGUAUUGUUUCUUCGGAAAUGAGAGAGCGGCGUACGGGUGCGGAACACGUGUGCAACCUGCCUUUAUCUGGGGGAUAGCCUUUCGAAAGGAAGAUUAAUACUCCAUAACAUAUUGAUUGGCAUCAAUUGAUAUUGAAAGCUCCGGCGGAUAGAGAUGGGCACGCGCAAGAUUAGCUAGUUGGUGAGGUAACGGCUCACCAAGGCGAUGAUCUUUAGGGGGCCUGAGAGGGUGAUCCCCCACACUGGUACUGAGACACGGACCAGACUCCUACGGGAGGCAGCAGUGAGGAAUAUUGGUCAAUGGGUGCAAGCCUGACCAGCCAUCCCGCGUGAAGGACGACUGCCCUAUGGGUUGUAAACUUCUUUUGUAUAGGGAUAAACCUACCCUCGUGAGGGUAGCUGAAGGUACUAUACGAAUAAGCACCGGCUAACUCCGUGCCAGCCGCCGCUGUAA